AACCGCAUAGAAGUAAAGAGAUAGAUCUGAAAUGUCGCUCCCAAGAUUCAGCUUGGCAGGCGUUUCGUUCUGCUAGUCUGAUCAUUUGACAGAUUAGUAGGCCUGCUUGUGUCUGCUGAGUGCACUUCUUGGGAGUGAGCACUGCGACCGGUAUCUGUGCCAGUAGAAGCUUGAAGUAUCGAGGGCAGACCAAUUCGGUCUCUGUUUCCCAUUCUUCAAUGCCUAUCUGGUUGCGGGAACCGUGUAACUUUGUGUCGGCUUGUCUCAGAGGGUGUGGUAAGGCGCUAUCCGAAUAUCCAUAGUCUGCACGCAGGCUAUGGUAACCCUUGGCGUCUGUACCGUGCUUUUCUGACUCGGCGUGAAGUGUCUGCAGUGUAUGUGUCGGUCACCUAUCUCACCCGUCUUGAAACACGGACCAAGGAGUCUAACAUGUGCGCAAGUCAUUGGGUUCAAAACCUAGAGGCGCAAUGAAAGUAAGCUUCACUUGUGAAGUUAAGCAGGAUCCUCGAUUUAUCGGGGCGCACUGCUGUCCUGCCUUGUAUGCAUUGUCAUUGAGGCAGAGAAAGAGCGUACAUGUUAGGACCCGAAAGAUGGUGAACUAUGCCUGAGCAGGACGAAGCCAGAUGAAAAUCUGGUGGAAGUCCGUAGCGAUUCUGACGUGCAAAUCGAUCGUCGGACUUGGGUAUAGGGGCGAAAGACUAAUCGAACCAUC
Molecule: ribosomal RNA, 712 nt
Filed under: Oxystomina sp. Cr80a
Lineage: Eukaryota; Metazoa; Nematoda; Enoplea; Enoplida; Oxystominidae
Description: eukaryotic LSU rRNA
Rfam family: Eukaryotic large subunit ribosomal RNA
Source: RNAcentral